This is a long non-coding RNA of Panicum virgatum (switchgrass), 1375 nucleotides long. RefSeq lists it as uncharacterized. The record is from RefSeq and is a predicted model, not a curated record. The transcript has 3 exons. NCBI's taxonomy places the organism in Eukaryota, Viridiplantae, Streptophyta, Magnoliopsida, Poales, Poaceae.
GUGCGGAGCAGCGCGAGCGGGGUGCGACGGAGAGGACACAAGCAAAGCGCGGGCGAGCGCGUGGCGGCGUGUGCGGAGUGGAGCACCGAGUCGAGGGGCCGCGCCGGCGGCAUGCGGCGCGGAGCCGCGGCAACGGUAGAAACUCCACGAUGCAGCGCUGCCAGCCACUCCACCUCCCGAGCCCCCAGACCCCAGCGCGGCGGCUGCGGCUGCGGUAAGAUGGCGGUGGGGAAGAACAAGCGGAUCAGCAAGGGGAAAAAGUGCGGCAAGAAGAAGACGUAAGUUCGCUCCCCCACUGCGUUCCGAUCUCAGCAUCAGAUCCGUCACCGGCUCAUUUCGUUGUUCAUUUGGCUCAGUGUUGAUGCGGUGGUAAUUAUUGUUUUUUUUAGAAGAAGGUAACCGAUGGCGCAACCUGAAGCCAGGUGUUGAGUGUGACGGCAUGGCCAAACUAACCAUGUGCUCUGCUCAUGUUCCUGCAGAAAUUACACCGCGCAGCCUGCUCCCAAUUUGAGCUCGUGCGCCCCCUUUCGAUUGGGGAUUUGCUCGAACUGUAUCGAUGACCUACUGGAGGAAUGACCAUAUCGCUUUGUUCUCCAAUUAGUAGUUAGUUCACUUCGAGGACUGCCAGGGGAUCAGCAUGAGGGGCAUCACGUUGUAGAACAGCCAGCAGCAGCACCUGACGUUUACCCAGAGCUCCAACAUCGAGGCCAAUUACCUAAUGAUAUAGUCUUCUUCCAAAGGUGGCAAUUCUUGUGAGGCCAAAUGUCAGUAAAUCUGCGUUGUUCAACCAUCUUGUUGGGGGAAACAGGGCUAUCAUUGUUGAUGAACCUGGUGUGACAAGAGAUCGGUUAUAUAUAUGGACGAUCUUAUUGGGGUGAUUAGGAGAUUAUGGUUAUCGAUACUGGUGGGUUAAUUGCUUUAUCAAAGUCUCAAGUAGGUUUGAUAGAAGAACUUCUGUCACCACUACUACUGUGCGAAAACAUGGUGCUGAGGAUAAAGCCAAGCUGGGCAUGAAGACUUUGCUCAACAGAGGGUGCACAUGCUUUAGUUGCUUGCUUGCUUACCAGUGCUGUAGUUGGACGCAAGUUGCACGGUAGAGUUGAUGCUUGUUCGAGAGUUGGGGGUGAAAAUUGCCUUUGUACAUAUUUUAAUUUUCUUGAGUUCUUUCAUAAUUUUGCUUGAUUGGUCUCAAAAAGUUGCUUCAUGUAACAAUUGAGUUGAAUGGUAGUAUUAGUCAAGUAGAAAUAAUGUAACGUGAGCAGAUUAGAAGGGGUGAUGGUUGUUGUAAUUUUAGUAGAAAAUUGCUCGUGAUACUACUUUUUGAUGUACUGAUUGGAGUCACUUCUAAAUAUGGAAAGAAGAUAUUUUUACUCUA